RNAcentral lists this long non-coding RNA (605 nucleotides) under Mytilus galloprovincialis (Mediterranean mussel). The record is from RNAcentral. Lineage: Eukaryota; Metazoa; Mollusca; Bivalvia; Mytilida; Mytilidae.
GGGAGAUUUGUCCUUAAUGUUUGAGACCAUUUUUCUCUAUUCUCUAUUUAUUUUUCUCUAUUCUGUAUGUUCUAAUAGACCCGUAUGGCCUUUUUUCUCUGUUAUUUGUUUUUUGGUACGUUUUUCUAUAUUCGUGAUCCAUUAUUGCAUAUAACCCCAACCAGACCCUCACAUAAAGACGACCUCUUGAUUUUAUGUAAGAUUGGUGUCUCAUUACAGUUUAGUUGUACAUGACAGUCUUGAUAGGGGUUCUCAUUUUUUCAUUUCUGUAUUCUUUAAAUUUUUAGGUUUACAUGUAUUUGCUCUAUUCUUUAUACCUUUUGCCCAUUAUUCUCUAUUUCAUAUACUGUAGCACCUCAUUAUUUCUAUUUUUAUUUUUUGGGGUCUAUUUUGGCCUAAUUUUCUCUUUUUUUUAUAUAAUUUUACCCAUUAUUCUUUAUUCUGUAAAACCCCAUCCCCACCCUCGGACAUGUAAUGAAUUCAAUGUUUUCUACACUGUCAUUGUUAAUAUAUAUUAUAUAUAUUCGGAACAAAACAAAAUUUAAUUCCCAAAUGUGAUCAUAUAUAUGUAUUGAUUUUCAUUCAUAAAGAGGAUUUCCCAUUUU